GACGAACGCUGGCGGCGUGCUUAACACAUGCAAGUCGAACGGAAAGGCCCUGCUUUUGUGGGGUGCUCGAGUGGCGAACGGGUGAGUAACACGUGAGUAACCUGCCCUUGACUUUGGGAUAACUUCAGGAAACUGGGGCUAAUACCGGAUAGGAGCUCCUGCUGCAUGGUGGGGGUUGGAAAGUUUCGGCGGUUGGGGAUGGACUCGCGGCUUAUCAGCUUGUUGGUGGGGUAGUGGCUUACCAAGGCUUUGACGGGUAGCCGGCCUGAGAGGGUGACCGGCCACAUUGGGACUGAGAUACGGCCCAGACUGCUACGGGAGGCAGCAGUGGGGAAUAUUGCACAAUGGGCGGAAGCCAGAUGCAGCAACGCCGCGUGCGGGAUGACGGCCUUCGGGUUGUAAACCGCUUUCGCCUGGGACGAAGCGUGAGGGACGGUAAUGGGUAAAGAAACACCGGCUAACUACGU
This 467-nucleotide ribosomal RNA is filed under the name uncultured bacterium. Its description in RNAcentral is "partial 16S ribosomal RNA". It matches the Rfam family "Bacterial small subunit ribosomal RNA", at positions 28 to 506 of the family's 1533-position model. The record is from RNAcentral.